RNAcentral lists this long non-coding RNA (891 nucleotides) under Homo sapiens (human). Its description in RNAcentral is "HSALNT0348739". Lineage: Eukaryota; Metazoa; Chordata; Mammalia; Primates; Hominidae. The record is from RNAcentral.
AGCAGCGGGCCCAGCCUGCCCCGCAACAGCCAGCGCGGCUCCUGGAGGGAAACGAGCAAGGCGGCCCCGCAGGUGUGGCGCGGCCCUGGGAGGGCGCGUGCGAGCGCUGCUUUGUUUGGUGCCCGCACAGCCCCGGGCUCCAGGCCUGAGCGCCAACCUUCCCGAGCUGAGUCACGGCUGCAGAGCCCGAGGGCGGCCAUACGGCCCCGCCCGGAAGGAUGAGGCCCCUUCCUGAAGCUGGCGAGUCCGAUGCGGUGGCAGGGACAAAAGCCAGGGGAAGGUGGCUUCUAUUCUACAAAGCCCUUUAGGGAAGGGGGGAGUCAGGCCGCCCUCACCCAGUGCAGGUCCGUCACGAUGGUCACCCAGAGCACUCACGCAGAAAGCCAGCUUGCAGCCGCCAGCCCUGAGGAUGCCGCCCCCAAAGGGCUCAUUGCUCUAAUCACCCGUCCAGGGGCUUGAGGCAAAGCUCCAAGACAGACCUGUAGCAGCAUGGCCCAAAAAGUUCCUCUGCUGCCCCAGUCCCAUACCUGCCUGAGGUACGGGGGUUCAGGCUGAGUCGGCUGACCUGGAGUCAUCUGGAAGCCUUGUCAGAAAUGCAGAUUCUGCAGUGCUGUUCCCAGAGGAUGAGAUUCAGCAGAACUGGGUGUUGGAUAUUAUAUGAAGAGAUUUGCAAGUGUUAUUUUACGUAAUUCGCACUUUACAAAGGAGGAAACUGCAGCGCAGGUACCAAGGUUGCCCCAUCUCGGUCCAGGCCUGCUCCCGGCGAGCCACUCGCCCUUGACCACGCCUCCUCUCUCCUGAUUGGCUGUCAGGCAUGAGUCGACAGAGAAAGAUGACCACUGCCCUCACCCCACUAAAGAAGCCCCAGCACUUAGCAAGCACUUAUGGCCC